AAGUCGUAACAAGGUUUCCGUAGGUGAACCUGCGGAAGGAUCAUUACUGUUCGGCAGUUUACUGCUGUUUUUAAAGGGUGUGGAAACUUUUUGGGUUAUCCCAGAGAGGUGUACACGCCCUUUAUACACCCUUGACUUUUUGCGCACCCUUGUUUCCUCGGUAGGCUUGCCUGCCGGUUGGACAACUUAAUAACCUUUGAAAUUUUCAAUCAGCGUCUGUAAAACAUAAUAAUUACAACUUUCAACAACGGAUCUCUUGGUUCUG
Molecule: unclassified non-coding RNA, 265 nt
Filed under: fungal sp.
Lineage: Eukaryota; Fungi
Also listed under: 1 other name
Description: partial internal transcribed spacer region
Rfam family: Eukaryotic small subunit ribosomal RNA (bases 1-46)
Source: RNAcentral